RNAcentral lists this long non-coding RNA (5218 nucleotides) under Sus scrofa (pig). Its description in RNAcentral is "lncRNA (ENSSSCG00060052618.1)". Lineage: Eukaryota; Metazoa; Chordata; Mammalia; Artiodactyla; Suidae. The record is from RNAcentral.
UUUUUUUUUUUUUUUUGUCUUUUUGCUAUUUCUUUGGGCCGCUCCCACGGCAUAUGGAGGUUCCCAGGCUAGGGGUCCAAUCGGAGCUGUAGCCCCUGGCCUACGCCAGAGCCACAGCAACGCAGGAUCCGAGCCACGUCUGCAACCUACACCACAGCUCACGGCAACGCCGGAUCGUCAACCCACUGAGCAAGGGUAGGGACCGAACCCGCAAACUCAUGGUUCCGAGUCGGAUUCGUUAACCACUGCGCCACGACAGGAACUCCUGAAUACCCAUUCUCUUCAAUCACACAGGGUAUAUUUUCCAGAAUAGAUAAUAUGUUAGGUCACAAAAUCAAUCUUAAUGAAUUUAAGAAAAUUGAAAUCUUUAUCUAGCACUUUUUAUGACCACAGUUGUAUGAAACUAGAAAUCAAUUACAGGAAGAAAACUGGAAAAUUCCUGAAUAUGUAGAUAUUAAAACACGUGUUCCUGAACAGUCAAUGAAUCAAAGAAGAAAUCAAAAGAGAAAUAAGAAAUUAUCUUGAGAAAAGUGAACUUGGGAAUAAAACAUAACAAAAGCUUAUGAGAUACAGCUAAAAAAGUACUAAAGGGAAGUUUAUACCAAUAAAUGCCUUCAUUAAGAAAAAGGAAGAAAAAUAUUAAAUGACCUAACUUUGAUCUCAAGGGACUAGAAAAAGAGGAAAAAAAUAAGCUCAAAGUUAGUUGUAGCAAGGAAAUAACAAAGAGCAGAAAUAAAUUAUAUAAAGACCAGAAAAAUAAUAGAAAAAAAUCAAUGAGACAAAGCAAUUUUUUUGAAAACUCAAACAAAAUUGACAAAAAAUUCCUAUUCUUACCAAGAAAGGAAGAGAGAGGACUCAGACAAAUUAAAUUAUAAAUGAAAAUUGUUGCAUUACAGUUGAUAUUAUAUAAAUAGAAAGGGUUAUAAGAGACUACUAUGAACAAUUUUAUAUUAACAUAGAAGAAUUUUACAUUAACAUAGACAACCUAGAAGAAACAAAGUCGUCAAAACAAUAUCUAUGAAAACUAAGUCAUGAAAAAUAAAAAUCUAAACAGGUCAUUUACUAGCAAAAAAAAUUGAAUGUGUAAUAAUAAUAAUAGAAAAAAACUCCCAAAAAAGAAAAGCUCAGGACCAUGUGGCUUCACAGGUGAAUUCUACCAAAUAUUUAAAGAAGAAAGAAUACCAAUGGUUCUCAAACUCUUUCAAACAUACAAAAGGGAUGGUACACUUUCACACUGAUUUUGCAAUGUCAGUCUUACACUGAUCCUAAAGCCAGAAACCUACAUUACCCCCAUAUCUCAGUGAUACUGUGGGUUCCAUUCCAGUCUGCUGCAAUAAAGCAAGUCACAUGAAUUUUUUGGUUUCCCAGUGCAUAUAAAAAUGAUAUUAAACUAGUAAAAAAUAGCAUUUUGUCUAAUAUGUAUCUUGGAGUUUCUGUGGUGGUACAGUGGGUUAGGAAUACGACUGCCGCUGCUUGGGUCACUGUGGAGGUGCUAGUUGGAGUUAAAUGAUCCAGCAUUGUUGCAACUGUGGUGUUGGUCACAGGUGUGGCUUGGAUUCAUUCCCUGGCCUGGGAAUUCCAUAUGGCAUGGGUGCCGCCAUAAAACUAAAACAAAAAUGAAAAAUAAAAAAUGUCCAUACUUAAUUGAAAAAAAAUGUUAAUUUUUUAUUAUUAUUAAAAAAUAUUGCUAAAAAAUGUUAAUCAUCAACUGAGUCUUCAGAGAGCCAUAACAGUAGCAUCAAAAUCACUGAUCACAGAUUAUCAUAACAAAUAUAAUAAUAAUGAAAAAGUUUGAAAUAUUUUGGGGAUUACCAAAUGUGACACAGAGACACCAAGUGAGCAAAUGCUGUUGGAAAAAUGGUUCUGAUGAACUUGUUCAACACCGGGGUUUCCAAAAACCUUCCACUUGUAAAAGUACAAAAUCUGAGAAACACAAUCAAAGGAGGCAUGCUUGUACAAGAAAAUAAAAUUACAGUCCAAUAUACAUUAAAGUAUUCAGUGAAUGGGAAAGUACUAUAGAAAUAUGAGCUACUAUUUUUAUUAUUAUUACUAAGCAUUGACAGACUCAAAAAUAUAGCCCAUAUUUUCACAGCAGUGAGUGUUCAGUGAGGAUUAUUAACUAUACUGGGCUACCAAAUUGUAGUUUUUAAAGUGUUUUCACCCAUUUAGCAAGUUGGUACUAGAUUUUUAAAUAGUAAAAUAAUUUGAUAAGUCAACUUUCCUGGAAGUAUUUUCACACUUUUCACAUUCACUGACUUCAUAUACAUAUUAGUGACUUGGGACUCAAUACUACUAAUUAUACAACUAAUGUCAGGAACUGGGCUAGUUACUGUGUGUGCCUCAUCUGCCUUAAACUUCAUAAUUCUAUAUAGUGGGUAUAAUUACUCUAAAUUCAUAGAUAAGAAAAAUGAGGAUUAAUGAGAUUAUUAUAAACACCAUGUGUCAAAAAUUGCAUAACCAACAGAGGUAUGUUUUGAGUCCAAAAAUGUCAAAUUUCGUAGACAGCCCUUGUGCUUGACCAUGAUUUUCACUAGACAGUGUAGAUGCUCGAUAUUCACCUUCAAAUGAAUGAAAGAAUGAAUGAAUGAAUAUAUCCUUAGCUUAGAUCUGAGGACUUUACAAAGACAAUAUUUCAGGAAGGGAAAGUGUCUGGAUCCCUACCAUGCAGAUUGUGCGUAAUUAUAUAUUUUAAAAAAUUCCGCAGUUAUCUCAAAUCCAAAAGAAUCAAAUUGUAACUCACUAUUUUCCAAGUUAUACUUGUUCCAUGUCCUGUGUUUCCUGAAUUACUAAAGGUAUCGCUAUACACCCAGUUGCCUGCAUUAAGUAUUUAAAAUCCUCUCUCUACCGUAUCUCCUAUUCAUAAUCCAUUUCUAAAUCAUGUAUAUUUUUCUGUGAGGUCUCUCAAAUGCAUCCAUUUCCCAUCUUGUUCCAGCCGUCACUAUGCCUCAGCUGGGUUACUGCAAUAGAGUCCUAAAUGAUCUUUCUCACUCCCUUCCUUUCUCCAUGCUGCUGUUAGAUGGUCCCUUCUAUCAUUAGAUUUGAUGACACUAUGUUUCUGCUUUAAACAUGAAAAGUCUUCCAACUGUGAUGAGGACAGGGCUCAAACAUCUCAGCUUGGCUCUAAGGAUUUCCUCAUUGCUCUUUCUCCAAUUUACUUCAUUGCCCACUAAUUGCCGCCUCAUACUUUCCACCAUCAAAAUAGUUACUUAGUUGCGCUUUCACAAAUGGGCCAAGUUUUCAAUGUCCUUACAGCUUUUUCCUUUCUUUUCCUCUGCCUGGAAUGCCUCUUCUCACACCUAGCCUAAGUAAUGCUGAAAGCAAGACUAACUAGAUAGUAACAUUCCCAUAAGCUUUACCAGCAGAAGCCUACACAAUUCCCCAUAAACUCCUGUUAUGAUACUAUCCCACCUCAUUAAUUACUUACUUGCCACUGAACACACUAAGUGAAAUCACCUUGAGGCCGUGAGUCAUAUCUUUUUUUUUCUUUCAGUUUUAUAUAUUCACAAUUUAGCAUGCCUGGCACAAUUUUGCUGCUCAAAAAACUGUUUCAAGUAACAUAAUCAAUGAAUAAUAAAUGGACAAAUAGAAAGGAAGGAAGGAAAGAGGGAGAAAGGAAGUAGAGAGUAAGAAAGGAAGAAAGAAAAAUGUAUGUCCUCUUGCUCAAGAAGAAAAUAAAAACUUAAUACUCUUGGUUUUGGGGGUAUGGGGAUGGGAUCAGAAGCACUGUAAGAUGCAAGUGUUAUUUUUAGAGAAAAUAAAUUACAGUAUGUUUCUUGUAUAGCAGACUGUAAACCUAUCACCUCCUGCUGUAAAUCUGACCCACUAUGGAAUAAAUCUUGCCUGUAAUCUCAGUGUUUUUCAUAAAAUAGUAUUCUAUUAUUUAAAAGUGUAAAAUUAUCUAAUCUUCCAUUCCAAAGCUUCACUUUUCAAAAAAAAAAAAAAGAAGGAUUAUUGAAAUUUAUAAAUUUGGCCAUGGCAAAAUGGCAUUUAUGUUUUUCAGAGUUAAAAUGAAAUAAAACAUAUAACUUGUUGGGUUUUGCUUUCAUGACAAAUAGGCACUGACAAAUACAUACCACAUUACCAUCCUUGAUUGCUCUGAUGGAACUCAUUUUCAUCUUGUGUUCCUCUAAUUACAUGAAAAUUGCAUACUUUUUAUGCAUGACACAUUUUGCACAGCUUUAGCAAAAGGUUGUGAAGAGAGGGGGAAAAAAAAAAACAUUUAUCAGUUUUUUCCCCUUUCACAGUGGCAAUUGAUCAUCUUCCCAGCAAUCAAUCUUGCUUUAUGGGACUACUUUUUGCCACUAUUGUUGUAACCAAGUGGCAGCAGAAAGGCACUGUACACAAAAAAAUAUGGUGGAUGGUUUUAGGUGUUUUUCUCUGCUCUUAUUAGAUGAGAUUUAGGAUGCCCUUGCUUUCCACCAAUUGUUCUGAGUUGCUUUCUUUGCUCUUCAUCCCCCUCUCUGCUGGGAUUUGAAGCUUUUAUCAUAGAAAGAGAUGUAGGAAUCCUAAGAAUCCUGCCCCACCCUUUAUUUCUCAUUCAAAGUAUUUUACAUUUAUAGAGAAUAUUUAACAUUGUAAAGCACUCUCUUAUCAAUUUUUUUUUUAAUUUUUAGUUUCACAAUGAAAUGGGAUAUAUUUAGAGAAGAUCAUUUGAAUCUGCAGUUUAAAGAUGAGGAAAUUGAAUGAUUAUGACUUUGACUUGCCUAAAUUGGUGUGAUUUAUUUGUUUUUAAUCUUAACGUUGACUCAGAAGUCCUGGCUUCCAGUCCCAGCUAUUCUCAGAGGGUUUGGCUUCUCUUUAAUGAAGACCUGGGAACAUAAUUUCUCUGCUACCUCUCCUUAAAAUACAUACAAAGAAGACACCAAUAACAAAUACAGGAGGAAAUUACAGGCAAUCAAUUGGGUGCAGGCUCCUAAAGCCUCUUUCGUUUCCCUUUUUUGGACAAGCGCAGCACCUGACCAGCUUCGGGAGAACAAAGACUCCAUCUGGACCGAAGGGAAAGAGCUGGUCGCCUGUGGAGCCACAGAGAACAAGGCUCUGCUUCCCUUUGAAGUGCUGGCGUUCUUCUUAAUCACCUGGCAAAGUCUUAAUUUAAAGAGGGGCUCUUAGAGAAGCAGGGGAUCUCAGGUAUAUUUGACUUUCAUACCCAAUCUACUUACCUUUCAUCAGGUUUAUUAAAAUUGGUGAUGUGUUAAUUGUGAACCCCGUUUGUAUCUGA